This 483-nucleotide ribosomal RNA is filed under the name uncultured bacterium. Its description in RNAcentral is "partial 16S ribosomal RNA". It matches the Rfam family "Bacterial small subunit ribosomal RNA", at positions 28 to 523 of the family's 1533-position model. The record is from RNAcentral.
GAUGAACGCUGGCGGCGUGCUUAACACAUGCAAGUCGAACGGUGAAGCAGGAGCUUGCUCUUGUGGAUCAGUGGCGAACGGGUGAGUAACACGUGAGCAACCUGCCCCUGACUCUGGGAUAAGCGCUGGAAACGGCGUCUAAUACUGGAUAUGUGAUGUGACCGCAUGGUCUGCAUCUGGAAAGAAUUUCGGUUGGGGAUGGGCUCGCGGCCUAUCAGCUUGUUGGUGAGGUAUGGCUCACCAAGGCGUCGACGGGUAGCCGGCCUGAGAGGGUGACCGGCCACACUGGGACUGAGACACGGCCCAGACUCCUACGGGAGGCAGCAGUGGGGAAUAUUGCACAAUGGGCGGAAGCCUGAUGCAGCAACGCCGCGUGAGGGAUGACGGCCUUCGGGUUGUAAACCUCUUUUAGCAGGGAAGAAGCGAAAGUGACGGUACCUGCAGAAAAAGCACCGGCUAACCACGUGCCAGCCGCCGCUGUAA